AUGAUCCUCCAUGCCUUCCCUGAUUUCCGAUGGCAGCAAGCCGCCGUAAUGAAGGACUGGGAGCAUUGCGUUGAGGAGACCGAAAUCUCAUCGUCUUUCCAUGCCAUGAUGAUCCCGCCCCGGGUACCGUCCGCUGGCUGGAAACAGAAACCAGUGAAGGCAGGCCCGCAGCACUCCCGAACAAUCUCCGCGAAAACAUCUGAUAAUUUUGAUUCUUGGAAGCACACGAAGGAUACAUUAAACUGCUGCACUAAUCUCCGUACUACGCCUCUUCUAGCAGCCGAGUUCAAGCCUCUGACAUUCCAAACUAGCAUUGGGCAACUAUCCAUGGAAAACUACUGUGUCGAAACUGCACCACCGGGGACUGCACUAGACCGCGAGGCUAGAUGGUCCAGCCACAGGAGCUGCCUUGACUCCAGGAGCAGCCGCCAGGGCCGUGAGCGCCUCGAUCUGGGCUUGGGUGAGCGGGCGCUCGAAAGAGAGCUCGUAGCGGCGCAGAGCCUCCUCCCGGGGCCGCUGAUUCCGAGCUUCUGCAUGAUGAGCUGCCGCGCACGGGCCACCGCGUUCAGAGUGGCCGUGGUCUUGGAGGCAAGCCGCCCGCUGCGCCUGGGGUUUGGGAUCGGUGAGCGUCGGCGGCGAGUCGCCCUCGUCUGCAUGGCCGGGCGCGGCAGGAUUGGUGGCGCGAGUGGGAGGGUCACGUCCGCGACCAGCUGGUCCACCGCGGUCCGUGGACCCACCAUCCCUCCUGGCUGUGGGCCCUGUGCCUCCUGCGCCAGGGCCGUCAGCGCCCGGUCGGUCGCCUGCGGAACGAGCGGGGUGGCAGCCCGCCGGCAGUGCAGGCGCAGCCAAGCGGCAGCCCGCCGGGCUGACCCGUGCCCCCCAGCAGGCGAGGCGGGGGCCAUGGCCGCGCCGGACAAACGGAUCAGUCCAAGGCCGCUGACCAGAGGCGUCAUCGGGGCCACCUGGCUCUGCCCGAGGGGGGGAGCCAGUGCAGCAGCGUCAGCGCUCGCCCUCCCAGGCGAAUCAUGGGGAGGGGAUGUUUCCUCCUGGUUGUCGUGGAUGGCCCCACCAGAGCUUGCCACAACAGGAGUCAGCGGGUCCUGCUCCCUGACAGUCAGCGGUUGGCUGCAUGGCGCAUGCGCAUGCACGUCGGGGGCUGCGCCAGGGAUCGCAGUCGCUACGCUCUCCGCGCCCCCCAUCGCCGCCGCCAAGGGGGAGACGCGGAGCCGCCAUUGA
This 1236-nucleotide ribosomal RNA is filed under the name Triticum aestivum (bread wheat). RNAcentral describes it as "partial small subunit ribosomal RNA". The record is from RNAcentral. Lineage: Eukaryota; Viridiplantae; Streptophyta; Magnoliopsida; Poales; Poaceae.